GUGAAUCAUCAAAUUUUUGAACGCAAAUUGCACUCUCUUCGGAUAGUAUGCCUGUUUGAGGUUCAGCCUCAUAAAAAUCUACAUAGUUUCUGUUACGCUGUAACAUUCUUCCGCCAUUGCGUCAUCUUACACCUUUGGGUUUAUGCGGCUUAACAUUUUCUUUUCGAUUCCAAGUACGUUUCUAAGUUUUUAUUUUCUUAUACCUUUAAGGUAUCGAUCUUUAUUUGCCCUCUCCGUUUCAUCGGAUCUCGUCCAUCAAUCUGUCGUUAACUGUCCUCAUACACGUAAGACCACCC
RNAcentral lists this unclassified non-coding RNA (296 nucleotides) under Glomus sp. RNAcentral describes it as "partial contains 5.8S ribosomal RNA and internal transcribed spacer 2". The stretch from base 1 to 65 matches the Rfam family "5.8S ribosomal RNA", at positions 84 to 154 of the family's 154-position model. The record is from RNAcentral. Lineage: Eukaryota; Fungi; Glomeromycota; Glomeromycetes; Glomerales; Glomeraceae.